UGUUGAUUUCUUCUUCAAUUGCAGUUUGUAACUUUUUAAGAUUCAUGAUUAUAUGUCUUGUAUCAGUUCGAAAUUGUUGGGUUAUUCACUCCGGUCACUCCACCGAAAGAGUUCUUGGGUGGCUUGAGUUCUCUGAAUUUGUGCGUGUAUCAGAUUGGGAGGUGGAUUGAGGAGGAUGCUUCCGUUCUUGUUCCUGCUGAUAUAAAUCAUAUAAUCAACAUUAAGUUUGGGGAUAUUAUUCCAGCACAUGCUUGUCUCCUCGAUGGUGAUCCACUGAAAUUGAUCAGUCUACACUUGUCGGUGAGUCACUUCCUGUGAUCAAAGGCUCUGGUGACAUUGUGUAUUUGGGGUCUACAUGAAAACAAGGAGAGAUUGAAGCUAUGGUGAUUGCCACUAGUGUUCAUACCUUUUUUGGCAAGGCUGCUCAUCUUGUCGAUAACACAAAUCAACAGGCCCACUUUUAAAAGUGCUAGUGGGAUUCCAGGAGAGAAUAUGGGUGUUAUUAUACAAUUCCUCUUGAUCAUGGUCAAUCUGGGAGGACAGAUAGCCUCUUGUAUAUCCUUCAUGGACUCUGCUAACCUAUGCUUCGAUGACUAUUGGUUUUCUUUGGUUGCUGGGAUAUUGAAGACAAAAUAAAAGAGAAGAAAAUGAAAUGAAAUGGGCAUGUCCUUCAUUUUCUCUAUGGUUUUCUGGGUGCAGAAACAUACUGUGAUUGAGUCCAAGCCUGAACAUUUUCUGGAUGACCUUCGUUUGAAUAAUCCAUGGCCUGAGCUUAGAAGGUCCAGAGUUGCAACAAAUAAUUAGUGACAGCCGUUCUUAAGUUCAUUCCGGUUAAUCAGACUUUUGGGUCAUGGUGGCGGCAUUGAAGAUUUGUGAAACCAAGAUUGAAUCUGCGACAACUGGAUAUAGUGUGCAUAAAUUAGAUCUGUUUAUCUUGGAAUUCCUAGCAAAUGAAGGUGGUGGUGAGGCACCCCUCGAGGGAUCAG
This is a long non-coding RNA of Rosa chinensis, 986 nucleotides long. RefSeq lists it as uncharacterized. The transcript is spliced from 7 exons. NCBI's taxonomy places the organism in Eukaryota, Viridiplantae, Streptophyta, Magnoliopsida, Rosales, Rosaceae. The record is from RefSeq and is a predicted model, not a curated record.